RNAcentral lists this ribosomal RNA (305 nucleotides) under uncultured bacterium. RNAcentral's name for it is "bacterial SSU rRNA". It matches the Rfam family "Bacterial small subunit ribosomal RNA", at positions 334 to 651 of the family's 1533-position model. The record is from RNAcentral.
GAAACCUAGGGACGCAGCAGUCGAGAAUCAUUCACAAUGGGGGAAACCCUGAUGGUGCGACGCCGCGUGGGGGAAUAAAGGUCUUCGGAUUGUAAACCCCUGUCAUGUGGGAGCAAAUUAAAAAGAUAGUACCACAAGAGGAAGAGACGGCUAACUCUGUGCCAGCAGCCGCGGUAAUACAGAGGUCUCAAGCGUUGUUCGGAAUCACUGGGCGUAAAGCGUGCGUAGGCUGUUUCGUAAGUCGUGUGUGAAAGGCGCGGGCUCAACCCGCGGACGGCACAUGAUACUGCGAGACUAGAGUAAUG